UAGUGAUCAAAUUAAAUUUCAGCUAACAAAAAACCAAUUUACACAUUAUUCGAAAAACUCGACCCAGAAGCAGAAUUAAUAGUGCUGGAUGGGAUGACGAUUGAUUCAGAUGGGAAUUUGUGGGUGGCUGUUUUCAAUCAAAGUCGUAUGAUAAAGGUCAAUCCUAGAAAACCAGGAAUUAUAGAGGACUUUAUCCAAAUUCCGGGUAAACAGGUUACAUCCGCUGCUUUUGGUGGUCCAAAUUUCGACGAAUUAUACGUAACAACUGGAAGAAUGCCUAUUAAAGGUGUUGCUCCUUCAGCUCCAGAGGAUGGAGGUUUAUACAGAGUGACAGGAUUAAAUGUGAAAGGACUGCCAGCAGCGAGAAUAAUUCUCUAAAUGGCAACAACAGGAUUAAGUUACUCAUAUAAUAAUAAUAUUAAUAAUACAUGUGCAAUGUAUACAUUAAUUAAAACAAGCAUUGGUGGGAAACUAAA
Anoplophora glabripennis (Asian longhorned beetle) is the source of this 476-nucleotide RNA transcript. It is a transcript of the gene named regucalcin-like, with no coding region annotated. NCBI's taxonomy places the organism in Eukaryota, Metazoa, Arthropoda, Insecta, Coleoptera, Cerambycidae. The transcript has 3 exons. The record is from RefSeq and is a predicted model, not a curated record.